UACGGGGGGAGCAAGCGUUGUUCGGAUUUACUGGGCGUAAAGGGCGCGUAGGCGGCCAGCGCAAGUCAGUUGUGAAAUCUCCGGGCUUAACUCGGAAAGGUCAACUGAUACUGCGCGGCUAGAGUGCAGAAGGGGCAACUGGAAUUCUCGGUGUAGCGGUGAAAUGCGUAGAUAUCGAGAGGAACACCUGCGGCGAAGGCGGGUUGCUGGGCCGACACUGACGCUGAUGCGCGAAAGCCAGGGGAGCGAACGGG
Molecule: ribosomal RNA, 254 nt
Filed under: uncultured bacterium
Lineage: Bacteria
Description: partial 16S ribosomal RNA
Rfam family: Bacterial small subunit ribosomal RNA
Source: RNAcentral